RNAcentral lists this ribosomal RNA (397 nucleotides) under uncultured bacterium. RNAcentral's name for it is "partial 16S ribosomal RNA". It matches the Rfam family "Bacterial small subunit ribosomal RNA", at positions 523 to 918 of the family's 1533-position model. The record is from RNAcentral.
AUACGUAGGGAACGAGCGUUGUCCGGAAUGAUUGGGCGUAAAGGGCGCGUAGGCGGCCCGGUAAGUCUGGAGUGAAAGUCCUGUUUUUAAGAUGGGAAUUGCUUUGGAUACUGUCGGGCUUGAGUGCAGGAGAGGUAAGUGGAAUUCCCAGUGUAGCGGUGAAAUGCGUAGAGAUUGGGAGGAACACCAGUGGCGAAGGCGACUUACUGGACUGUAACUGACGCUGAGGCGCGAAAGUGUGGGGAGCAAACAGGAUUAGAUACCCUGGUAGUCCACACUGUAAACGAUGAAUGCUAGGUGUAGGGGGUAUCGACCCCUUCUGUGCCGCAGUCAACACAAUAAGCAUUCCGCCUGGGGAGUACGGCCGCAAGGUUGAAACUCAAAGGAAUUGACGGGG